CCUACGGGUGGCAGCAGUGAGGAAUAGUGGUCAAUGGACGCAAGUCUGAACCAGCCAUGCCGCGUGCAGGAAGACGGCUCUAUGAGUUGUAAACUGCUGUUGUAAGAGGGAAAACGCAGAUAAGCGAAUCUGUCUGAAAGGAUCGGACGAAUAAGGAUCGGCUAACUCCGUGCCAGCAGCCGCGGUAAUACGGAGGAUUCAAGCGUUAUCCGGAGUUAUUGGGUUUAAAGGGUGCGUAGGCGGUCGGAUAAGUUAGAGGUGCAACGCCGAGGCUCACUUUCGGAAUUGCCUCUGAUACUGUUCGGCUAGAGAGUAGUUGCGGUAGGCGUCAUGUAUGUUGUAGCGGU
Molecule: ribosomal RNA, 347 nt
Filed under: uncultured bacterium
Lineage: Bacteria
Description: partial 16S ribosomal RNA
Rfam family: Bacterial small subunit ribosomal RNA
Source: RNAcentral